Long non-coding RNA from Limulus polyphemus (Atlantic horseshoe crab), 101 nucleotides. RefSeq lists it as uncharacterized. The record is from RefSeq and is a predicted model, not a curated record. The transcript has 3 exons. NCBI's taxonomy places the organism in Eukaryota, Metazoa, Arthropoda, Merostomata, Xiphosura, Limulidae.
CUAAUUCAAAAAAAAAAGACACAAACAAUAUUCGAAAAACACUUUUCGAUAUUAAUAACAAUAUCGAAUGUCAAACAGCAAUAAUUCACUAGUUAUAUUAU